GCGCGGGAUAGAGUAAUUGGUAACUCGUCAGGCUCAUAAUCUGAAUGUUGUGUAGGUUCGAAUCCUACUCCCGCCA
RNAcentral lists this transfer RNA (76 nucleotides) under Climacium dendroides. Its description in RNAcentral is "tRNA-fMet". It matches the Rfam family "tRNA". Rfam says of the family: Transfer RNA (tRNA) molecules are approximately 80 nucleotides in length. Their secondary structure includes four short double-helical elements and three loops (D, anti-codon, and T loops). RNAcentral also lists the same sequence under 1 other name. The record is from RNAcentral. Lineage: Eukaryota; Viridiplantae; Streptophyta; Bryopsida; Hypnales; Climaciaceae.